GGGGCUGUAGCUCAGUGGCAGAGCAUCUGCUUAACAUGCAGGAGGUCCCAGGUUCGAUCCCUGUUAUCUCCA
Molecule: non-coding RNA, 72 nt
Organism: Heteronotia binoei (common prickly gecko)
Lineage: Eukaryota; Metazoa; Chordata; Lepidosauria; Squamata; Gekkonidae
Source: the annotation of a RefSeq genome assembly